RNAcentral lists this ribosomal RNA (305 nucleotides) under uncultured bacterium. Its description in RNAcentral is "bacterial SSU rRNA". It matches the Rfam family "Bacterial small subunit ribosomal RNA", at positions 333 to 655 of the family's 1533-position model. The record is from RNAcentral.
GUUUCCCUACGGGGCGCAGCAGUAGGGAAUCUUCCACAAUGGGCGAAAGCCUGAUGGAGCAACGCCGCGUGUAGGAAGACGGUCCUCUGGAUUGUAAACUACUGUCCCCAGGGACGAAGAUGACGGUACCUGGGGAGGAAGCUCCGGCUAACUACGUGCCAGCAGCCGCGGUAAUACGUAGGGAGCGAGCGUUGUCCGGAAUUACUGGGUGUAAAGGGAGCGUAGGCGGGGAUGCAAGUUGGGUGUUAAAUCUACCGGCUCAACUGGUAGUCGCACUCAAAACUGCAGCUCUUGAGUGAAGUAGA